GGGUCUAUUGGGGAGUGGUUAACCCGCAACUUUUGGGCCGAUAAGACGAAAAAUAGUUGAGAUCGGGAGUUCGAAUCUCCCUAGACCCC
Non-coding RNA from Dioszegia hungarica, 89 nucleotides. The record is from the annotation of a RefSeq genome assembly. Lineage: Eukaryota; Fungi; Basidiomycota; Tremellomycetes; Tremellales; Bulleribasidiaceae.